UUGAAACACCAGUUCCCAUAUGAUCAACAAAGUUAAGCAAUGUUGAGCCUGGUCAGUACCUAGAUGGGUGAUUGCUUGGGAAUACCAGGUGCUGUAAG
RNAcentral lists this ribosomal RNA (98 nucleotides) under Acanthosepion pharaonis. Lineage: Eukaryota; Metazoa; Mollusca; Cephalopoda; Sepiida; Sepiidae. The record is from RNAcentral.